AGUCUAUUGAUCCUUCUAGAUGUAAAUAAUACAACCGGCCAAGGACUUUUCGAUGUGCUAGAGAAGGAGCUAAAACUGCUUGAUCUUGAUAUAAAUGAUGUGCAAGGACAAUGUUAUGAUAAUGGAUCAAAUAUGAAAGGAACGCAUCAAGGGGUACAAAGGAAACUUUUGGAUUUAAAUCCUAGAGCUUUUUAUUCUGCUUGUGGUUGUCAUAGCCUUAAUUUAACACUUUGUGAUAUGGCCAAGACUUGUGGUAGAGCAAAGGGCUUUGUUGGAAUCAUCCAACGCAUCUAUACAAUUUUUUCCAAUUCUACUAAGAACUGGCUUAUUUUGAAACAAAACGUAUCAAGAUUGACUCUCAAGUCUGUGUCAGCUACGCGUUGCGAAAGUCGUGUUGAAAGUGUUAAAGCUAUCAGAUUUCAAUGUUCAGACAUUCGGGGGCUCUACUUCAGGUAA
This 456-nucleotide ribosomal RNA is filed under the name Triticum aestivum (bread wheat). RNAcentral describes it as "partial small subunit ribosomal RNA". The record is from RNAcentral. Lineage: Eukaryota; Viridiplantae; Streptophyta; Magnoliopsida; Poales; Poaceae.